Molecule: ribosomal RNA, 543 nt
Filed under: uncultured Thelebolales
Lineage: Eukaryota; Fungi; Ascomycota; Leotiomycetes; Thelebolales
Description: eukaryotic LSU rRNA
Rfam family: 5.8S ribosomal RNA (bases 180-333)
Source: RNAcentral
GACUGCGGAGGAUCAUUAAGAGACGUUGCCCUUCGGGGUAUACCUCCCACCCAUUGUUUAUUAUACCUUUGUUGCUUUGGCAGACCCGGCUUCGGCCCACCGGCUCCGGCUGGUCAGUGUCUGCCAGAGGACCUAAAACUCUGUUUGUUAAUAUUGUCUGAGUACUAUAUAAUAGUUAAAACUUUCAACAACGGAUCUCUUGGUUCUGGCAUCGAUGAAGAACGCAGCGAAAUGCGAUAAGUAAUGUGAAUUGCAGAAUUCAGUGAAUCAUCGAAUCUUUGAACGCACAUUGCGCCCUCUGGUAUUCCGGGGGGCAUGCCUGUUCGGGCGUCAUUACAACCCUCAAGCUUUGCUUGGUAUUGGACAUUGCCAGUUUCUGGCAGGUCUUAAAAUCAGUGGCGGUGCCAUUUGGCUUCAAGCGUAGUAAUUCUUCUCGCUUUGGAGAUCCAGGUGGUUACUUGCCAAUAACCCCCAAUUUUUUCAGGUUGACCUCGGAUCAGGUAGGGAUACCCGCUGAACUUAAGCAUAUCAAUAAGCGGAGGA